Molecule: long non-coding RNA, 1909 nt
Organism: Strongylocentrotus purpuratus (purple sea urchin)
Lineage: Eukaryota; Metazoa; Echinodermata; Echinoidea; Camarodonta; Strongylocentrotidae
Exons: 2
Source: RefSeq, a predicted model, not a curated record
CUCUCCACCCAGCCUGCCCAGGUAUUAAAUGCCAAAGGACCUAAGCACCACGGCAGGACUUAAUCCGCAAACCAUGUGAUCAACGGCCCAAUGAUGUACCCACUCUCCACCCAGCCUGCCCAGGUAUUAAAUGCCAAAGGACCUAAGCACCACGGCAGGACUUAAUCCGCAAACCAUGUGAUCAACGGCCCAAUGAUGUACCCACUCUCCACCCAGCCUGCCCAGGUAUUAAAUGCCAAAGGACCUAAGCACCACGGCAGGACUUAAUCCGCAAACCAUGUGAUCAACGGCCCAAUGAUGUACCCACUCUCCACCCAGCCUGCCCAGGUAUUAAAUGCCAAAGGACCUAAGCACCACGGCAGGACUUAAUCCGCAAACCAUGUGAUCAACGGCCCAAUGAUGUACCCACUCUCCACCCAGCCUGCCCAGGUAUUAAAUAGGAACCCGGUAGAAUGCAAACAUUCCUGUAGUUGGAUUGGCACCAUGUGCCCUCUUAAAACAGCACCUGGCCGGAAUACUCCUCAGGGAGCGGAGUGUGUGCACAACCAGUUGAGGAUAAGCGUUUGAAUCAAAUGACCGGGGUAAUAAUAAUUAAAAUUAAGCGCUAUACAAAUGUGAGUAUUAUUAUGGGGGCUGUUGCAGCUCCUACCCUCUUUCUGAUACCUCUGGUGACAUUUUACAAGUACUUUAUAUGCACUUUAUAUGCACUGGAAAUUCUGAGACACUCCAAAUGCGACUACCCACUAUAGUAUAGAGGCUAUAGACACGAGGUUACUUCCAGAAAUACUUGAUAUCUUUAUUACUCGAUAAAUUCAUUUGGUUUUUUCAAUAGACAUGAGAUAUGCUUUGUCUGUGCUUCAUAUAUAUAUAUAUAUAUAUAUACAAAAUAUUUACACAUCAUAUUCUAAUUAUGUUCUCCUCUGAACUACACCAUUCUAAAGUCGUAUUACACCAAACCAAAUCUAUAUAUUUGUACUUGUUGAUAAAUAAUGAUAUUAAACAGCAAACAAAAUAAUACUCUGUAAGAAGAUUUGAAAUGAAUACGUUCACCAAGGUUACUAUUUCUUGUGAACUAUCAUUUUGGUAGUUUUUUCUAAGUUAGAAACCCACUACUGUGUUGAUGCAGAUGGCCCGGUAUACUACGAAGAAUAAAUGCUUUUUUUAGUAGAACCCUCUGUAAUGUUGGAAAUGGUAAUGGAUGUUAUUAGAAGAAAGAAGGAAAAAAAAAAAUUUCAAAAAAAGGAAUUAGCCAAUAUAUCUUUUCACAUUUCAGUUACACUUGCUUCAGCAAUAGUCAUAAUUACCUUGCAGAAUGGCUGCUUAUUGAUAGAUGCUUUGAUGCUAACAAACAAGCAAAACGUUUCCAGGAAAGAAAUGUGCAUUGCAGUCAGCUCUUUGCCUGACAAACUGGUUUUUAUUCUAGGCGGUUUGAAGCUGAUGGACCCCGGGGCAAAACAAAGUCAUGUUUCUUAGACGAUGCGGAGAGAGGUCACUAAAUAGACGUUAAUGGUCAUACACGAUUAAUACAUGUCUGUAAAACCCAAUACACAUACACACUUCCUUUACAAACAAUAUGUAAAACUGUGAGUAAGAAUGAUUAUAACUAAUCCAGUGUAAAGUUUGUUGGAGGAUUAACAAUGCUAACAAUUUCAAAUCAAGUUGAAAUAGUUGAAUUACACAUAUAUUUUCAAAAGCGUUCAAUGAUUUCAGCGACUAAAUAUUAAAAUAAUAUCUUUGAAUGUGUUGAAGUGGGAAACGCCUACAUUUUGUUUUCUUUGUUAUGCAAUCACAAUCAAAUAAUACCAGUUCACAUUUCACUGGGCUUUAAAAAAAGAAUAUUUUUUUAGUCACUGCAAUACAUUUUUCGUCAUUGCCCAAAUGAAACUAUUUAAAAGUUAUCGUCUGGCUU